This 530-nucleotide long non-coding RNA is filed under the name Mytilus galloprovincialis (Mediterranean mussel). Lineage: Eukaryota; Metazoa; Mollusca; Bivalvia; Mytilida; Mytilidae. The record is from RNAcentral.
CUGUCUGAUUUUUUUAAAAGUUGAUGGCCAAAACCCGGAAAUACCCAUAUCCGCUUCCGGAAUCGGAUCCGAUAUUGUAAUUUUCUUCUCAUGUCAGCCAUUUUGUUUUCAAUGUUGUUUUUGUCAGAUACGAUUUUACUCGAAUUUACACAUUAUUUGUCGACGAUUUUCUGUAUAAAGCUAGCGGUUGAACAAAAUGAACAUCGCUGUCAUGAAUAAAUAAUGCUAAAAACAAGUUUUGAGAUCGUUUAUUAGGAGACUUUGGUAAAAAGGUUUGCAAAGUUAUUUUUUUAUUUCCUCUCAAGUCGGGCAUGUCGAUCGUAGCUAGUAACCAAGUCGAAAGUCCGACUGCAAAAGUGGAAGGUCGCAGACCUCGGACAACCGCUAAUUUGAACCCCUGCCUCCAAAUUGAAAAGAUACAAAAAUUUCGUCUGAUAAUUUAAAAUUGCCGCCAACAGCAUGAGCAGUGGAACUUAUUUUAAGACUACUGACGUAGUUGACUACGUAUUGACGACAAACAAUAUUCCUAC